Long non-coding RNA from Homo sapiens (human), 711 nucleotides. Lineage: Eukaryota; Metazoa; Chordata; Mammalia; Primates; Hominidae. The record is from Ensembl.
UUCAGCAUCCCGAACAGCAGCAGCGGUCCGCAGGACUCGCAGGACUCGGUGCACAGCAGCCCUGAGGAUGGCGGCGGCGGCGGCCAGCACCGGCCGGUGGGCGGGAGCCCCGGCGGGCCGCGCCUGGUGAUCGGCUCCUUACCAGCUCACCUCUCACCGCGCAUGUUUGGAGUCUCCCUCUGAUGCCGAGCGGAGGCUGGACUGUACAGCCACCAUCUCGGCUCACUGCAACAUCCCUGCCUGAUUCUCCUGCCUCAGCCUGCCGAGUGCCUGGGAUUGCAGGCUCGCGCCGCCACGCCUGACUGGUUUUUGUAUUUUUUGGUGGAGAAGGGGUUUCGCCAUGUUGGCUGGGCUGGUCUCCAGCUCCUGACCGCAAGUGAUCUGCCCGCCUCGGCCUCCCGAGGUGCCAGGAUUGCAGACGGAGUCUCGCUCACUCAGUGCUCAAUGUUGCCCAGGCUGGAGUGCAGUGGCGUGAUCUCAGCUCGCUACAACCUCCACCUCCCAGCCGCCUGCCUUGGCCUCCCAAAGUGCUGAGAUUGCAGCCUCUGCCCGGCCGCCACCCCGUCUGGGAAGUGAGGAGCGUCUCUGCCUGGCCGCCCAUCGUCUGGGAUGUGAGGAGCCCCUCUGCCCGGCCGCCCAGUCUGAGAUGUGAAGAGCGCCUCUGCCCGGCCGCGACCCCGUCUGGGAACUGAGGAGUGUCUCUGCCUGGCC